AUUGAACGCUGGCGGCAUGCUUUACACAUGCAAGUCGGACGGCAGCACAGAGGAGCUUGCUUCUUGGGUGGCGAGUGGCGAACGGGUGAGUAACGCAUCGGAACGUACCGAGUAAUGGGGGAUAACUGUCCGAAAGGACAGCUAAUACCGCAUACGCCCUGAGGGGGAAAGCGGGGGAUCUUAGGACCUCGCGUUAUUCGAGCGGCCGAUGUCUGAUUAGCUGGUUGGCGGGGUAAAGGCCCACCAAGGCGACGAUCAGUAGCGGGUCUGAGAGGAUGAUCCGCCACACUGGGACUGAGACACGGCCCAGACUCCUACGGGAGGCAGCAGUGGGGAAUUUUGGACAAUGGGCGCAAGCCUGAUCCAGCCAUGCCGCGUGUCUGAAGAAGGCCUUCGGGUUGUAAAGGACUUUUGUCAGGGAAGAAAAGGGGCAUGUUAAUACCGUGCUCU
Molecule: ribosomal RNA, 450 nt
Filed under: Neisseria bacilliformis
Lineage: Bacteria; Pseudomonadati; Pseudomonadota; Betaproteobacteria; Neisseriales; Neisseriaceae
Description: bacterial SSU rRNA
Rfam family: Bacterial small subunit ribosomal RNA
Source: RNAcentral